UACGUAGGGUGCGAGCGUUGUCCGGAAUUAUUGGGCGUAAAGGGCUCGUAGGCGGUUUGUCGCGUCGGGAGUGAAAACCUUGGGCUUAACUCAGGGCUUGCUUUCGAUACGGGCAGACUAGAGGUAUGCAGGGGGAGAACGGAAUUCCUGGUGUAGCGGUGAAAUGCGCAGAUAUCAGGAGGAACACCGGUGGCGAAGGCGGUUCUCUGGGCAUUACCUGACGCUGAGGAGCGAAAAGCGUGGGGGAGCAAACAGG
RNAcentral lists this ribosomal RNA (256 nucleotides) under uncultured bacterium. Its description in RNAcentral is "partial 16S ribosomal RNA". It matches the Rfam family "Bacterial small subunit ribosomal RNA", at positions 524 to 776 of the family's 1533-position model. The record is from RNAcentral.